UACGAAGGGGGCUAGCGUUGUUCGGAUUUACUGGGCGUAAAGCGCACGUAGGCGGAUCGUUAAGUCGGGGGUGAAAUCCUGGAGCUCAACUCCAGAACUGCCUUCGAUACUGGCGAUCUUGAGUCCGGAAGAGGUGAGUGGAACUCCUAGUGUAGAGGUGGAAUUCGUAGAGAUCCGGAAGAACACCGACGGCGAAGGCAGCGUCCUGGCCGAGCACUGACGCUCAGGCACGAAAGCGCGGGGAGCAAACAGG
RNAcentral lists this ribosomal RNA (253 nucleotides) under uncultured bacterium. RNAcentral describes it as "partial 16S ribosomal RNA". It matches the Rfam family "Bacterial small subunit ribosomal RNA", at positions 524 to 776 of the family's 1533-position model. The record is from RNAcentral.